RNAcentral lists this ribosomal RNA (253 nucleotides) under uncultured bacterium. RNAcentral describes it as "partial 16S ribosomal RNA". It matches the Rfam family "Bacterial small subunit ribosomal RNA", at positions 524 to 776 of the family's 1533-position model. The record is from RNAcentral.
UACGGAGGGAGCUAGCGUUAUUCGGAAUUACUGGGCGUAAAGCGAGUGUAGGUGGUUGUCCAAGUUGGAUGUGAAAGCCUUGAGCUCAACUCAAGAAAUGCAUUCAGGACUGGGCGGCUAGAGGACCGGAGAGGAUAGUGGAAUUCCUGGUGUAGCGGUGAAAUGCGCAGAUAUCAGGAAGAACACCUAUGGCGAAGGCAGCUCUCUGGGACGGUACUGACGCUGAGACGCGAAAGCGUGGGGAGCGAACAGG